Molecule: long non-coding RNA, 828 nt
Organism: Spinacia oleracea (spinach)
Lineage: Eukaryota; Viridiplantae; Streptophyta; Magnoliopsida; Caryophyllales; Amaranthaceae
Exons: 2
Source: RefSeq, a predicted model, not a curated record
UUCCCAUUCUAAGAGUCAUUAUCACAUUCAAUCCACAUAAAGAAUGUUGUUUGUGAAAAAUUCAAACUCAUAAUAUUCUGAAGAAGAUCAAAUCAAAGUAAUUGAUCAAAUGGUUGACAAAAUCGUCACCCAUCAUUUACCAACCACAUUCUUUCACGAUCGGUGGUAUUGACUGCCUGCACUCUGGGAGCGGAAAAUUGCCCUAAUCGCGUGGAAAGGUCAUAUACCAAGGACGUAGCGUGAACGCUAGCCUCUUUCUUGAAGUUGUUGCGAAUUAAGAUCUAUGGAUUUGGCAUUCAUUUUGUGGUUUUAAGGUGAAUGGGCAUGUAUACAUGGGGUACUACCUAACAGAGUAACAAAUGGUAUUUAUCCAAAUUUGACUGUGUUCAUCCAAGGAUUUACUCGUCAUCAACUUGAAAAGCAUAAGUUGUUUGCUGAUACACAAGCACAUGUUCAGAAGGAUGUUGGAAGUGCAUUCGGAGUUUCACGAGUGAGAUCGUCAUUAUACGAAAACCAUCUCUUGCUUACGGUGAAGAUAUUAGGCGACAUAAUGAAGACUUGUAUCAUCAUGCACAACAUGAUAGUUGAGGAUAAACGAGACACGUAUGUCCGAGACGUUUCGAGUUCCAAGUUGGACAUCCUGUCAACAUUAAUGUUUACUUUGGGAGAAGAGUAGCUAUGUGUAACAGUCAAACUCAUCAGUCCCUGAUUUAAUCGAGCACAAUUGGCAAAAAUAUGGAUCGAAUAAUCAUUAAACUCAUGCGCUUAAAUAGAUUUGUCAUUGCAACGCUUGUGUUUGCUUUAACAUAUUUGAAUUUGGUUUUAUGA